AUCCAAGGAAAGACUUUCGUGAAACUAAUAAGCCCAGUUAGCCAGCACAUAUCAACAGCCCCUGACUGAGCAAGAAACGAUUAUCCGCCAUAAUGUAACUUUACAGAGUUCAGUCUAUAUCAUAGAAAUAACAUCUAUUAUUCCUAUGGUUUAUAUAUAACUAUAAUAGUUUUCCAUGCAGGGAAUCCAAAUCGUUACCAGUGCAUGCAUACGCUUGUAAUACAAUUUUAUCAGCAUUGUUAAAACAGUUCAAUUCAUUUCCGCCCUAAACCAAUACUUUAUCUAAACCAAUACUCUAUCUAAACCAAUACUCUAUCUAAACAAUACUCCCCAUACUUUUCUUUUUAAAAAAAGUUUCACAAAAUUUUUCUAAGUUUUACCUGGAGUCAUUCGAACAUUUUGUUUUGUGCAAAAUUUGAACUUUUUAAUUUCUUGCGACUAAACACGAUCAUCUUUGUGGAGAACUGCAGCAUUGCAGUAUACGAACCUCUAACCUGAAGUUCAGGCCCUAAUUUGAAAUAGGGCCCGACACAAAACCUGUCUAGACCGUGGGACGCCCACAUGUUAUUUUUAGACACACAUGCAAUAUGAUUGACAAGUGUUGUAGAUUUCGUUACACAAAAAAAUUAU
Non-coding RNA from Paramuricea clavata, 630 nucleotides. Lineage: Eukaryota; Metazoa; Cnidaria; Anthozoa; Malacalcyonacea; Plexauridae. The record is from the annotation of a GenBank genome assembly.